This 468-nucleotide ribosomal RNA is filed under the name uncultured bacterium. RNAcentral describes it as "partial 16S ribosomal RNA". It matches the Rfam family "Bacterial small subunit ribosomal RNA", at positions 28 to 507 of the family's 1533-position model. The record is from RNAcentral.
GACGAACGCUGGCGGCGUGCUUAACACAUGCAAGUCGAACGGAAAGGCCCUGCUUUUGUGGGGUGCUCGAGUGGCGAACGGGUGAGUAACACGUGAGUAACCUGCCCUUGACUUUGGGAUAACUUCAGGAAACUGGGGCUAAUACCGGAUAGGAGCUCCUGCUGCAUGGUGGGGGUUGGAAAGUUUCGGCGGUUGGGGAUGAACUGGCGGCUUAUCAGCUUGUUGGUGGGGUAGUGGCUUACCAAGGCUUUGACGGGUAGCCGGCCUGAGAGGGUGACCGGCCACAUUGGGACUGAGAUACGGCCCAGACUCCUACGGGAGGCAGCAGUGGGGAAUAUUGCACAAUGGGCGGAAGCCUGAUGCAGCAACGCCGCGUGCGGGAUGACGGCCUUCGGGUUGUAAACUGCUUUCGCCUGUGACGAAGCGUGAGUGACGGUAAUGGGUAAAGAAGCACCGGCUAACUACGUG